CCUACGGGUGGCAGCAGUGAGGAAUAUUGGUCAAUGGCCGGAAGGCUGAACCAGCCAAGCCGCGUGAAGGACGAAGGUGCCAAGCAUUGUAAACUUCUUUUGUCAAGGGACAAAAUCAGGCUCGAGAGCCUGACCGAGGGUACUUGAAGAAACAGCAUCGGCUAACUCCGUGCCAGCAGCCGCGGUAAUACGGAGGAUGCGAGCGUUAUCCGGUUUUAUUGGGUUUAAAGGGUGCGUAGGCGGACUGUUAAGUCAGCGGUAAGAGCCCGGGGCUCAACCCCGGCGAGCCGUUGAACCUGGCUGUCUUGAGAUGUCGAGAGGUAUGCGGAAUGCGCAGGGUAGCGGUGAAAUGCGUAGAUAUUGCGCAGAACUCCGAUUGCGAAGGCAGCAUAGCGGCGGCGAUCUGACGCUGAGGCACGAAAGCGUGGGUAGCGAACAGGAUUAGAUACCCGGGUAGUC
This 459-nucleotide ribosomal RNA is filed under the name uncultured bacterium. RNAcentral describes it as "partial 16S ribosomal RNA". It matches the Rfam family "Bacterial small subunit ribosomal RNA", at positions 338 to 795 of the family's 1533-position model. The record is from RNAcentral.